RNAcentral lists this small RNA (148 nucleotides) under Pongo abelii (Sumatran orangutan). Its description in RNAcentral is "Metazoan signal recognition particle RNA (ENSPPYG00000034764.1)". The record is from Rfam by way of RNAcentral. Lineage: Eukaryota; Metazoa; Chordata; Mammalia; Primates; Hominidae.
GCCGGGCAUGGUGGUGCAUGCCUGUAAUCCCAGCUACUCAGGAGGCUGAGGCAGGAGAAUCACUUGAACCUGGGAGACAGAGGUUGCAGUGAGCCAAGAUCGUGCCACUGCACUCCAGCCUGGGCAACAGGGUGGGACUCUGUCUCAA